AGAGUUUGAUCCUGGCUCAGGAUUAAUGCUAGCGACGUGCCUAAGGUAUGCAAGUCGAAUGCCGAUUUAUCGGCAUGGCAGACGGCUGAGUAAUACAUGGGAAUCUACCUCAAACUCGAGAAUAGCCCAUCGAAAGGUGGUGUAAUACUCGAUAGUUCCGUUUACGGUAAAGCUCCGGCGGUUUGAGAUGAGCCCAUGUCCUAUCAGGUUGUUGGUGGGGUAAUUGCCUACCAAGCCUAUGACGGGUAGCUGGUUUGAGAGGAUGAUCAGCCAGACUGGGACUGCGAUACGGCCCAGACUCCUACGGGAGGCAGCAACUAGGAAUCAUGCGCAAUGGACGAAAGUCUGACGCUGCGACGUCGCGUGAGGGAUGAAGGUCUUAGGAUCGUAAACCUCUUUUAUCUGGGAACAAGUUCUGAGUGUACCAGAUGAAUAAGUGCCUGCCAACCACGUGCCAGAAGCAUCGGUAAUGCGUGGGGCACGAGCGUUAUCCGGAUUUACUGGGCGUAAAGAGAUGCGUAGGCGCCUUUUUAAGUCACUUGUAAAAUCUCCCCGCUCAACGGGGAAACUGCAAGUGAUACUGAAUUGGUUGAGUCAAGUAGAGGAGAGGGGAAUUCCUGGUGGAGCGGUUAAAUGCGUUGAUAUCAGGAGGAAUACCAAGUGCGAAGGCACCUCUCUGGACUUGUACUGACGCUAAGGCUCGAAAGUGUGGGGAGCAAAACGGAUUAGAUACCCGUGUAGUCCACACUGUAAACGAUCCCUGCUAGAUGUUUGCUUUGUUUUGUAGUUCUACGGCUUGCCGUAGGGUCCACAAACUGAGUGAGUGUCGCAGCUAACGCGUUAAGCAGGGCGCCUGGGGAGUACGGCCGCAAGGCUAAAACUCAAAGGAAUUGACGGGGACCCGCACAAGCAGUGGAGCGCCUGGUUUAAUUCGAUGGUCAGCGAAGAACCUCACCUGGGCUUGAACUGUAGCUGCACACCUUGGGAAACCAGGGGAGCCUUCGAGGGUGCUACAGAGGUGAUGCAUGGCUGUCGUCAGCUCGUGUCGUGAGAUGUAGGGUUAAGUCCCGUAACGAGCGCAACUCUUAUCUGAUGUUAUAAUUUCUUCAGAGACUGCCCCGUUAUAGCGGGGAGGAAGGAGAGGAUGACGUCCAGUCAGCAUGUCCCUUAUGUCCAGGGCUACACAGACGCUACAAUGGCUAUUACAAUGGGCUGCCAAGCCGCGAGGUGGAGCGAAUCCCAUCAAAAAUAGUCUCAGUUCGGAUUGCAGGCUGAAAUUCGCCUGCAUGAAGUCGGAAUUGCUAGUAAUCGCGUAUCAGCAUGGCGCGGUGAAUACGUUCUCGGGUCUUGUACACACCGCCCGUCAGGGCACGGGAGUUGCUCUUGCUCGAAGUUCCCGAAUUAUUCGGGACCGAAAGUUAAGGGCGGCGACCAGGCUUAAGUCGUAACAAGGUAACC
This 1458-nucleotide ribosomal RNA is filed under the name uncultured organism. Its description in RNAcentral is "bacterial SSU rRNA". It matches the Rfam family "Bacterial small subunit ribosomal RNA". The record is from RNAcentral.